Molecule: ribosomal RNA, 440 nt
Filed under: uncultured bacterium
Lineage: Bacteria
Description: bacterial SSU rRNA
Rfam family: Bacterial small subunit ribosomal RNA
Source: RNAcentral
CCUACGGGGGGCAGCAGUGGGGAAUAUUGCACAAUGAGCGAAAGCCUGAUGCAGCAACGCCGCGUGAGCGAUGAAGGUCUUCGGGUCGUAAAGCUCUGUCCUAAGGGAAGAAUAUUGACGGUACCUUAGGAGAACGCCCCGGCUAAAUCCGUGCCAGCAGCCGCGGUAAUACGUAGGGGGCUAGCGUUAUCCGGAAUUACUGGGCGAAAAGGGUGCGUAGGCGGCCCUUCAAGUCAGAGGUGAAAGGCUACGGCUCAACCGUAGUAAGCCUUUGAAACUGUAGGGCUUGAGUGCAGGAGAGGAGAGUGGAAUUCCCGGUGUAGCGGGGAAAUGCGUAGAUAUUGGGAGGAACACCAGUUGCGAAGGCGGCUCUCUGGACUGUAACUGACGCUGAGGCACGAAAGCGUAGGGAGCGAACAGGAUUAGAUACCCGUGUAGUC